CCUACGGGAGGCAGCAGUGAGGAAUAUUGGUCAAUGGGCGCGAGCCUGAACCAGCCAAGUAGCGUGAAGGAUGACUGCCCUACGGGUUGUAAACUUCUUUUAUAAAGGAAUAAAGUGAGGCACGUGUUCCUUUUUGUGUGUACUUUAUGAAUAAGGAUCGGCUAACUCCGUUCCGGCAGCCGCGGUAAUACUGAGGAUCCGAGCGUUAUCCGGAUUUAUUGGGUUUAAAGGGAGCGUAGAUGGGUUGUUAAGUCAGUUGUGAAAGUCUGCGGCUCAACCGUCAAAUUGCCAUUGAAACUGGCAGUCUUGAGUACAGUGGAGGUAGGCGGAAUUCGUGGUGUAGCGGUGAAAUGCUUAGAUAUCACGAAGAACUCCAAUUGCGAAGGCAGCUUACUAAAAUGCCACUGACAUUUAUGCUCGAAAGUGUGGGUAUCAAACAGGAUUAGAUACCCGGGUAGUC
This 460-nucleotide ribosomal RNA is filed under the name uncultured bacterium. RNAcentral describes it as "partial 16S ribosomal RNA". It matches the Rfam family "Bacterial small subunit ribosomal RNA", at positions 338 to 795 of the family's 1533-position model. The record is from RNAcentral.